Molecule: ribosomal RNA, 450 nt
Filed under: uncultured bacterium
Lineage: Bacteria
Description: bacterial SSU rRNA
Rfam family: Bacterial small subunit ribosomal RNA
Source: RNAcentral
GUGAGGAAUCUUGCGCAAUGGGCGAAAGCCUGACGCAGCGACGCCGCGUGGAGGAUGAAGGUCUUCGGAUCGUAAACUCCUGUCGAGCGGGACGAAUCCGGAAGGGUGAACAAUCCUUCCGGUUGACGGUACCGCUGGAGGAAGCCCCGGCUAACUCCGUGCCAGCAGCCGCGGUAAUACGGAGGGGGCCAGCGUUGUUCGGAAUCAUUGGGCGUAAAGGGCGCGUAGGCGGCUGCGCAAGUCGGAUGUGAAAUACCUCGGCUCAACCGGGGAACUGCAUCCGAAACUGCGCGGCUCGAGUCCUGGAGAGGGUAGUGGAAUUCCCAGUGUAGCGGUGAAAUGCGUAGAUACUGGGAGGAACACCGGUGGCGAAGGCGGCUACCUGGACAGGUACUGACGCUGAGGCGCGAAAGCCAGGGGAGCAAACAGGAUUAGAAACCCGAGUAGUCC